AGUUACCGCCUGGCCACUGGGUAAACCUCCGCAGCAGAGAGACCUACUUUAUGUUUCAUUUUCAAGCUCCUAUGGAGCCCAGCAGAGAGAGCUGACAAGGAGGAAUACUGCGAGGGGCUCACAGACUAAGACAAUCUGCUGGGAAAUUAGGAGUUUGAAACAUCCAACUAAGAAGCCUAAGGUUUAGACUGCAUCAUAUUCUAAUAACAACAGGAUUAUAAUAUCAAAUGAGACUCUCUGACCCUGCAAAUCUGGAACCAGCUGUAUAGGGACUUUGAACCUCCCUUUUCUCCAAUCUGCUGGUGUUUGUCAUCCUAAUAUAUACCUCAUAUUUUCUUUCUGAAAAUAAUUUUUAAAAUAUACCCAUCAUACAUACGGCA
Long non-coding RNA from Homo sapiens (human), 380 nucleotides. Ensembl annotates it as SIM1 antisense RNA 1. Its record names the gene SIM1-AS1. The record is from Ensembl. NCBI's taxonomy places the organism in Eukaryota, Metazoa, Chordata, Mammalia, Primates, Hominidae.